CCGAGUUUACAACUCCCAAACCCAAUGUGAACGUUACCAAACUGUUGCCUCGGCGGGAUCUCUGCCCCGGGUGCGUCGCAGCCCCGGACCAAGGCGCCCGCCGGAGGACCAACCAAAACUCUUUUUGUAUACCCCCUCGCGGGUUUUUUAUAAUCUGAGCCUUCUCGGCGCCUCUCGUAGGCGUUUCGAAAAUGAAUCAAAACUUUCAACAACGGAUCUCUUGGUUCUGGCAUCGAUGAAGAACGCAGCGAAAUGCGAUAAGUAAUGUGAAUUGCAGAAUUCAGUGAAUCAUCGAAUCUUUGAACGCACAUUGCGCCCGCCAGUAUUCUGGCGGGCAUGCCUGUCCGAGCGUCAUUUCAACCCUCGAACCCCUCCGGGGGGUCGGCGUUGGGGAUCGGCCCUGCCUCUUGGCGGUGGCCGUCUCCGAAAUACAGUGGCGGUCUCGCCGCAGCCUCUCCUGCGCAGUAGUUUGCACACUCGCAUCGGGAGCGCGGCGCGUCCACAGCCGUUAAACACCCAACUUCUGAAAUGUUGACCUCGGAUCAGGUAGGAAUACCCGCUGAACUUAAGCAUAUCAAAAGCCCGGAGGAA
Molecule: ribosomal RNA, 591 nt
Filed under: Trichoderma harzianum
Lineage: Eukaryota; Fungi; Ascomycota; Sordariomycetes; Hypocreales; Hypocreaceae
Description: eukaryotic LSU rRNA
Rfam family: 5.8S ribosomal RNA (bases 201-354)
Source: RNAcentral